RNAcentral lists this ribosomal RNA (406 nucleotides) under uncultured prokaryote. Its description in RNAcentral is "bacterial SSU rRNA". It matches the Rfam family "Bacterial small subunit ribosomal RNA", at positions 355 to 776 of the family's 1533-position model. The record is from RNAcentral.
UGGGGAAUCUUCCGCAAUGGGCGAAAGCCUGACGGAGCAACGCCGCGUGAGUGAAGAAGGCCUUCGGGUCGUAAAACUCUGUCUUCAGGGAAGAAAAAAAUGACGGUACCCUUGGAGGAAGCCCCGGCUAACUACGUGCCAGCAGCCGCGGUAAUACGUAGGUGGCGAGCGUUAUCCGGAAUUAUUGGGCGUAAAGAGUGCGUAGGUGGUUUUGUAAGCGCGGGGUGAAAGGCAAUAGCUUAACUAUUGUAAGCCCUGCGAACUGUAAAACUUGAGUGCAGGAGAGGAAAGCGGAAUUCCUAGUGUAGCGGUGAAAUGCGUAGAUAUUAGGAGGAACACCAGUGGCGAAGGCGGCUUUCUGGACUGUAACUGACACUGAGGCACGAAAGCGUGGGGAGCAAACAGG